GAUGAAGAACGUAGCGAAAUGCGAUAAGUAAUGUGAAUUGCAGAAUUCAGUGAAUCAUCGAAUCUUUGAACGCACCUUGCGCUCCUUGGUAUUCCGAGGAGCAUGCCUGUUUGAGUGUCAUGAAAUUCUCAACCUUUUCAGCUUUCUUUGUUGAUCAGGCUUGGAUGUGGGAGUAUGCGGGCUUCUCAGAAGACGGCUCUCCUGAAAUGCAUUAGCGGGACCUUUGUUGCCUGGCUUUGGUGUGAUAAUUAUCUACGCCAUUGUAGUCAAGCAGCUUAAAAUGAGGUUUCAGCUUCUAACCGUCUCCCCUGAGACAACUUUUUGACAAUUUGACCUCAAAUCAGGUAGGACUACCCGCUGAACUUAAGCAUAUCAAUAAGCGGAGGA
RNAcentral lists this unclassified non-coding RNA (387 nucleotides) under soil metagenome. RNAcentral describes it as "partial contains 5.8S ribosomal RNA, internal transcribed spacer 2, and large subunit ribosomal RNA". The stretch from base 1 to 120 matches the Rfam family "5.8S ribosomal RNA", at positions 35 to 154 of the family's 154-position model. The record is from RNAcentral.